RNAcentral lists this ribosomal RNA (310 nucleotides) under uncultured bacterium. RNAcentral describes it as "partial 16S ribosomal RNA". It matches the Rfam family "Bacterial small subunit ribosomal RNA", at positions 503 to 807 of the family's 1533-position model. The record is from RNAcentral.
AAGAGACAGCAGCAGCCGCAGUAAUACGGAGGGGGCUAGCGUUGUUCGGAAUUACUGGGCGUAAAGCGCACGUAGGCGGCUUUGUAAGUUAGAGGUGAAAGCCUGGAGCUCAACUCCAGAAUUGCCUUUAAGACUGCAUCGCUUGAAUCGCGGAGAGGUGAGCGGAAUUCCGAGUGUAGAGGUGAAAUUUGUAGAUAUUCGGAAGAACACCAGUGGCGAAGGCGGCCAUCUGGGACAACACUGACGCUGAGGCACGAAAGCAUGGGGAGCAAACAGGAUUAGAUACCCCCGUAGUCCCUGUCUCUUAUAC